Molecule: ribosomal RNA, 465 nt
Filed under: uncultured bacterium
Lineage: Bacteria
Description: bacterial SSU rRNA
Rfam family: Bacterial small subunit ribosomal RNA
Source: RNAcentral
GACGACGCGUGGCGGCGUGCUUAAAACAUGCAAGUCGAACGGACUUCUCAUGAAGCUUGCGAUUGAGAAGUUAGUGGCGGACGGGUGAGUAACGCGUGGGCAACCUGCCCCUGAGCCCGGGAUAACAGUUCGAAAGGACUGCUAAGACCGGAUAUACUUGCGGUGAAGCAUUUCACUGCAAGGAAAGGGAACGCUCAGGGAUGGGCCCGCGUCCCAUUAGCUAGUUGGUGAGGUAACGGCCCACCAAGGCGACGAUGGGUAGCCGGCCUGAGAGGGUGAACGGCCACACUGGGACUGAGACACGGCCCAGACUCCUACGGGAGGCAGCAGUUGGGAAUCUUCGGCAAUGGGCGCAAGCCUGACCGAGCAACGCCGCGUGAGUGAUGAAGGUUUUCGGAUUGUAAAGCUCUGUCUUCCGGGACGAUAAUGACGGUACCGGAGGAGGAAGCCACGGCUAACUACGUG